RNAcentral lists this ribosomal RNA (449 nucleotides) under uncultured bacterium. RNAcentral describes it as "bacterial SSU rRNA". It matches the Rfam family "Bacterial small subunit ribosomal RNA", at positions 29 to 524 of the family's 1533-position model. The record is from RNAcentral.
AACGAACGCUGGCGGCAUGCCUAACACAUGCAAGUCGAACGAGACCUUCGGGUCUAGUGGCGCACGGGUGCGUAACGCGUGGGAAUCUGCCCUUAGGUACGGAAUAACUCAGGGAAACUUGAGCUAAUACCGUAUAAUGACUCCGGUCCAAAGAUUUAUCGCCUAAGGAUGAGCCCGCGUCGGAUUAGCUAGUUGGUGAGGUAAAAGCUCACCAAGGCGACGAUCCGUAGCUGGCUGAGAGGAUGAUCAGCCACACUGGGACUGAGACACGGCCCAGACUCCUACGGGAGGCAGCAGUGGGGAAUAUUGGACAAUGGGCGAAAGCCUGAUCCAGCAAUGCCGCGUGAGUGAUGAAGGCCUUAGGGUUGUAAAGCUCUUUUACCCGGGAUGAUAAUGACAGUACCGGGAGAAUAAGCCCCGGCUAACUCCGUGCCAGCAGCCGCGGUAAG